RNAcentral lists this ribosomal RNA (1372 nucleotides) under uncultured bacterium. RNAcentral's name for it is "bacterial SSU rRNA". It matches the Rfam family "Bacterial small subunit ribosomal RNA", at positions 28 to 1381 of the family's 1533-position model. The record is from RNAcentral.
GAUGAACGCUGGCGGCGUGCCUAAUACAUGCAAGUCGAGCGAACGGACGAGAAGCUUGCUUCUCUGAUGUUAGCGGCGGACGGGUGAGUAACACGUGGAUAACCUACCUAUAAGACUGGGAUAACUUCGGGAAACCGGAGCUAAUACCGGAUAAUAUUUUGAACCGCAUGGUUCAAAAGUGAAAGACGGUCUUGCUGUCACUUAUAGAUGGAUCCGCGCUGCAUUAGCUAGUUGGUAAGGUAACGGCUUACCAAGGCAACGAUGCAUAGCCGACCUGAGAGGGUGAUCGGCCACACUGGAACUGAGACACGGUCCAGACUCCUACGGGAGGCAGCAGUAGGGAAUCUUCCGCAAUGGGCGAAAGCCUGACGGAGCAACGCCGCGUGAGUGAUGAAGGUCUUCGGAUCGUAAAACUCUGUUAUUAGGGAAGAACAUAUGUGUAAGUAACUGUGCACAUCUUGACGGUACCUAAUCAGAAAGCCACGGCUAACUACGUGCCAGCAGCCGCGGUAAUACGUAGGUGGCAAGCGUUAUCCGGAAUUAUUGGGCGUAAAGCGCGCGUAGGCGGUUUUUUAAGUCUGAUGUGAAAGCCCACGGCUCAACCGUGGAGGGUCAUUGGAAACUGGAAAACUUGAGUGCAGAAGAGGAAAGUGGAAUUCCAUGUGUAGCGGUGAAAUGCGCAGAGAUAUGGAGGAACACCAGUGGCGAAGGCGACUUUCUGGUCUGUAACUGACGCUGAUGUGCGAAAGCGUGGGGAUCAAACAGGAUUAGAUACCCUGGUAGUCCACGCCGUAGACGAUGAGUGCUAAGUGUUAGGGGGUUUCCGCCCCUUAGUGCUGCAGCUAACGCAUUAAGCACUCCGCCUGGGGAGUACGACCGCAAGGUUGAAACUCAAAGGAAUUGACGGGGACCCGCACAAGCGGUGGAGCAUGUGGUUUAAUUCGAAGCAACGCGAAGAACCUUACCAAAUCUUGACAUCCUUUGACAACUCUAGAGAUAGAGCCUUCCCCUUCGGGGGACAAAGUGACAGGUGGUGCAUGGUUGUCGUCAGCUCGUGUCGUGAGAUGUUGGGUUAAGUCCCGCAACGAGCGCAACCCUUAAGCUUAGUUGCCAUCAUUAGGUUGGGCACUCUAAGUUGACUGCCGGUGACAAACCGGAGGAAGGUGGGGAUGACGUCAAAUCAUCAUGCCCCUUAUGAUUUGGGCUACACACGUGCUACAAUGGACAAUACAAAGGGCAGCGAAACCGCGAGGUCAAGCAAAUCCCAUAAAGUUGUUCUCAGUUCGGAUUGUAGUCUGCAACUCGACUACAUGAAGCUGGAAUCGCUAGUAAUCGUAGAUCAGCAUGCUACGGUGAAUACGUUCCCGGGUCU